CCUACGGGUGGCUGCAGUAGGGAAUAUUGGACAAUGGGCGCAAGCCUGAUCCAGCCAUGCCGCGUGAGUGAAGAAGGCCCUCGGGUUGUAAAGCUCUUUUGUCCGGAAAGAAAAGCAAUCGGUUAAUACCCGGUUGUUCUGACGGUACCGGAAGAAUAAGCACCGGCUAACUUCGUGCCAGCAGCCGCGGUAAUACGAAGGGUGCAAGCGUUGCGCGGAAUUAGUGGGGGUAAAGCGUGAGUUGUGGGGUGAAAGCCCUGGGCUCAACCUGGGAAUGGCAUUGGAUACUGGCGGGCUAGAGUGCGGUAGAGGGUAGUGGAAUUCCCGGUGUAGCAGUGAAAUGCGUAGAGAUCGGGAGGAACAUCUGUGGCGAAGGCGACUGCCUGGACCAGCACUGACACUGAGGCACGAAAGCGUGGGGAGCAAACAGGAUUAGAUACCCUAGUAGUC
Molecule: ribosomal RNA, 450 nt
Filed under: uncultured bacterium
Lineage: Bacteria
Description: partial 16S ribosomal RNA
Rfam family: Bacterial small subunit ribosomal RNA
Source: RNAcentral